This 741-nucleotide ribosomal RNA is filed under the name uncultured Agaricomycetes. RNAcentral describes it as "eukaryotic LSU rRNA". The stretch from base 275 to 428 matches the Rfam family "5.8S ribosomal RNA". Lineage: Eukaryota; Fungi; Basidiomycota; Agaricomycetes. The record is from RNAcentral.
AAGUCGUAACAAGGUUUCCGUAGGUGAACCUGCGGAAGGAUCAUUAUUGAAACAUUGUAAAGGGGAGUUGAGCUGGCCCUUCAAGGGCAAGUGCUCGCUUUCCUUUCAAUCUUCAUCCACCUGUGCACUUUCUGUAGAGUAUUUCUGAGAAAUCUGAGCCCUUUAAGUAGGGUUCUAAGUAUCAGAAGUUCUCUAUGUCUUUAUAAACUAUGAAUGUAUGUCGUUGAAUGUCUUUUAUAAAGGGACCUUGAUUGGACCUUUUAAAAAACUAUACAACUUUCAGCAACGGAUCUCUUGGCUCUCGCAUCGAUGAAGAACGCAGCGAAAUGCGAUAAGUAAUGUGAAUUGCAGAAUUCAGUGAAUCAUCGAAUCUUUGAACGCACCUUGCGCCUCUUGGUAUUCCGAGAGGCAUGCCUGUUUGAGUGUCAUUAAAUUCUCAACCUCAAAGACUUUUGUUGAUGAGGCUUGGAUGUGGAGGCUUUUGCUGGCUCUUUAACGGAGUCGGCUCCUCUGAAAUGCAUUAGUGAAGACUGUUUGCAGUCCACAUUGGUGUGAUAAUUAUCAGCGCUAUUGUGGCUACAAGCUUGUUGUAGUGUUCGUUUGGAAAGUGCAUGAAUAAUGCUCUCUCUGCUUUACUUGACCUACACAAGUAUAGUAUUCGCUUCAAACCGUCCUAAGUUACUGGACAAAAUACUUGAUUAUUUUGACCUCAAAUCAGGUAGGACUACCCGCUGAACUUAA